UACAGAGGUCUCGAGCGUUGUUCGGAUUCAUUGGGCGUAAAGGGUGCGUAGGUGGCACUGUAAGUCGGGUGUGAAAUCCUGGGGCUUAACCCCGGAACUGCAUUCGAUACUGCAGUGCUUGAGGACUGGAGAGGAGACUGGAAUUCAUGGUGUAGCAGUGAAAUGCGUAGAGAUCAUGAGGAACACCAGUGGCGAAGGCGAGUCCCUGGACAAUACCUGACACUGAGGCACGAAAGCUAGGGGAGCAAACAGG
RNAcentral lists this ribosomal RNA (253 nucleotides) under uncultured prokaryote. RNAcentral describes it as "partial 16S ribosomal RNA". It matches the Rfam family "Bacterial small subunit ribosomal RNA", at positions 524 to 776 of the family's 1533-position model. The record is from RNAcentral.